UGUGUGGGAUUUCUGAAUGCUGUGAGAGGGAACAAGAUAAAGGAUGGUGAUUCCUAGGUCUUAGCUACCACAAUUAUAUGUUAAUGACCCAAAAAUAAGGGAACAAAAGACUGUAUGAGUAGAUAAUGGAACCAGCAAGAACUGGCUUGACUGCUGAAGUCUGUCAAAGACAGGAAAGGCCAGAAGAUAAGCAGCAAGGAAGAC
Molecule: long non-coding RNA, 204 nt
Organism: Oxyura jamaicensis (ruddy duck)
Lineage: Eukaryota; Metazoa; Chordata; Aves; Anseriformes; Anatidae
Exons: 4
Source: RefSeq, a predicted model, not a curated record